CCAUCGUACCCUCCUCCUCUUAACGUUUGUUAAUAUUUAUCAAAAUGUCUGGCUAAUGAAAAUCGUGUUUAUUUAACUAUCUUAUCAUUUUUAUUGCAUAUUCUAGCAUAAAUUUAUCAAUUUUGUGGGUAAUGAAAAUCUUGAUUUUACAUUACUUUGUAGAGAUGUAGUGAACUGUUCGAUUUUUGAACCAAGCCGAAAUACCCAAUAGUUUGGUUUUAAAAUCAUUCGAUGCCGAUUCUGCGCGGUCAUCAAUACAAUGUUCUGUGGUGGGGUAGAGCAGCCUUGUUACGA
Non-coding RNA from Cinara cedri, 294 nucleotides. The record is from the annotation of a GenBank genome assembly. Lineage: Eukaryota; Metazoa; Arthropoda; Insecta; Hemiptera; Aphididae.